Molecule: ribosomal RNA, 854 nt
Filed under: uncultured bacterium
Lineage: Bacteria
Description: bacterial SSU rRNA
Rfam family: Bacterial small subunit ribosomal RNA
Source: RNAcentral
AGAGUUUGAUCCUGGCUCAGAUUGAACGCUGGCGGCAGGCUUAACACAUGCAAGUCGAACGGUAACAGGAGAAAGCUUGCUUUCUUGCUGACGAGUGGCGGACGGGUGAGUAAUGCUUGGGAAUCUGGCUUAUGGAGGGGGAUAACUACGGGAAACUGUAGCUAAUACCGCGUAAUAUCUUCGGAUUAAAGGGUGGGACUUUCGGGCCACCCGCCAUAAGAUGAGCCCAAGUGGGAUUAGGUAGUUGGUGGGGUAAAGGCCUACCAAGCCGACGAUCUCUAGCUGGUCUGAGAGGAUGACCAGCCACACUGGAACUGAGACACGGUCCAGACUCCUACGGGAGGCAGCAGUGGGGAAUAUUGCACAAUGGGGGGAACCCUGAUGCAGCCAUGCCGCGUGAAUGAAGAAGGCCUUCGGGUUGUAAAGUUCUUUCGGUGAUGAGGAAGGUGUUUGUUUUAAUAGAACAAGCAAUUGACGUUAGUCACAGAAGAAGCACCGGCUAACUCCGUGCCAGCAGCCGCGGUAAUACGGAGGGUGCGAGCGUUAAUCGGAAUGACUGGGCGUAAAGGGCACGCAGGCGGUGACUUAAGUGAGAUGUGAAAGCCCCGAGCUUAACUUGGGAAUUGCAUUUCAUACUGGGUCGCUAGAGUAUUUUAGGGAGGGGUAGAAUUCCACGUGUAGCGGUGAAAUGCGUAGAGAUGUGGAGGAAUACCGAAGGCGAAGGCAGCCCCUUGGGAAUAUACUGACGCUCAUGUGCGAAAGCGUGGGGAGCAAACAGGAUUAGAUACCCUGGUAGUCCACGCUGUAAACGCUGUCGAUUUGGGGAUUGGGCUUAGAGCUUGGUGCCCGUAGCU